RNAcentral lists this ribosomal RNA (200 nucleotides) under uncultured bacterium. Its description in RNAcentral is "partial 16S ribosomal RNA". It matches the Rfam family "Bacterial small subunit ribosomal RNA", at positions 524 to 723 of the family's 1533-position model. The record is from RNAcentral.
GACGAACCGUCCAAACGUUAUUCGGUAUCACUGGGCUUAAAGAGUUCGUAGGCGGCCCUGCAGGUCAGGUGUGAAAUCCCACAGCUCAACUGUGGAACUGCGCUUGAAACCGCAAGGCUUGAGGGAGAUAGAGGUGAGCGGAACAGAUGGUGGAGCGGUGAAAUGCGUUGAUAUCAUCUGGAACACCGGUGGCGAAAGCG